AGUGAACGCUGGCGGUAGGCCUAACACAUGCAAGUCGAACGGCAGCACAGUAAGAGCUUGCUCUUACGGGUGGCGAGUGGCGGACGGGUGAGGAAUACAUCGGAAUCUACUCUUUCGGGGGGGAUAACGUAGGGAAACUUACGGUAAUAUAGCAUACGAUCUACGGGUGUAAGCAGUGGAACUUCGGAGCUUGCGCGUAUGAAUGAGCCGAUGUCGGAUUAGCUGGUUGGUGGGGUAAAGGCCGACCAAGGCGACGAUCCGUAGCUGGUCUGAGAGGAUGAUCAGCCACACUGGAACUGAAACACGGUCCAGACUCCUACGGGAGGCAGCAGUGGGGAAUAUUGGACAAUGGGGGCAAGCCUGAUCCAGCCAUACCGCGUAGGUGAAGAAGGCCUUCGGGUUGUAAAGCCCUUUUGUUGGGAAAGAAAAGCAGCAGGUUAAUACCCCGCUGUUCUGACGGUACCCAAAGAAUAAGCACCGGCUAACUUCGUG
This 492-nucleotide ribosomal RNA is filed under the name uncultured bacterium. Its description in RNAcentral is "partial 16S ribosomal RNA". It matches the Rfam family "Bacterial small subunit ribosomal RNA", at positions 29 to 507 of the family's 1533-position model. The record is from RNAcentral.